GAUGCAUUCAACAAGCAUAUAACCUUGGUCGAAUGGCCUGGGCAAUCUUGUAAACGUGCAUCAUGAUAGGGAUAGAUUAUUGAAAUUAUUAAUCUUGAACGAGGAAUUCCUAGUAAAUGCAGAUCAUCAAUCUGUGUUGAUUACGUCCCUGCCCUUUGUACACACCGCCCGUCGCACCUACCGAUUGAAUGGUCCGGUGAAGACUCGGGACCGUGUUUGGAUGUCUUUAUUGAUGUCUGAUUAUGGGAACUUGUCUGAACCUUAUCAUUUAGAGGAAGGUGAAGUCGUAACAAGGUUUCCGUAGGUGAACCUGCGGAAGGAUCA
This 324-nucleotide ribosomal RNA is filed under the name Coscinodiscus radiatus. RNAcentral's name for it is "SSU rRNA". It matches the Rfam family "Eukaryotic small subunit ribosomal RNA", at positions 1505 to 1828 of the family's 1831-position model. The record is from RNAcentral. Lineage: Eukaryota; Bacillariophyta; Coscinodiscophyceae; Coscinodiscales; Coscinodiscaceae.